This 484-nucleotide ribosomal RNA is filed under the name uncultured Rhodocyclaceae bacterium. Its description in RNAcentral is "bacterial SSU rRNA". It matches the Rfam family "Bacterial small subunit ribosomal RNA", at positions 883 to 1382 of the family's 1533-position model. Lineage: Bacteria; Pseudomonadati; Pseudomonadota; Betaproteobacteria; Rhodocyclales; Rhodocyclaceae. The record is from RNAcentral.
CCCGCUCAAGAAACUUACAUGAAUUGACGGGGACCCGCACAAGCGGUGGAUUAUGUGGAUUAAUUCGAUGCAACGCGAAAAACCUUACCUACCCUUGACAUGUCCUGAAGCCUGGAGAGAUCCGGGUGUGCCCGAAAGGGAACGGGAACACAGGUGCUGCAUGGCUGUCGUCAGCUCGUGUCGUGAGAUGUUCGGUUAAGUCCGCUAACGAGCGCAACCCUCGCUGUAUGUUACAUGUGUCAUACAGGACCGCCGGUAUCAAGCCGGAGGAAGGUGGGGAUGACGUCAAGUCCGCAUGGCCUUUAUGUCCGGGGCUACACACACGCUACAAUGGUCGGUACAAUGGGUUGCUAAGCCGCGAGGUGGAGCCAAUCCCCCAAAGCCGGCCUCAGUUCAGAUUGCAGGCUGCAACUCGCCUGCAUGAAGCUGGAGUUGCUAGUAAACGCGCGUCAGCUAUAGUGCGUUGAAUACGUUCUCGGGCCUU